RNAcentral lists this non-coding RNA (110 nucleotides) under Candidatus Pullichristensenella excrementigallinarum. RNAcentral's name for it is "SAM riboswitch (S box leader)". It matches the Rfam family "SAM riboswitch aptamer (S box leader)". Rfam says of the family: The SAM riboswitch is found upstream of a number of genes which code for proteins involved in methionine or cysteine biosynthesis in Gram-positive bacteria. The SAM riboswitch acts at the level of transcription termination control. The record is from RNAcentral. Lineage: Bacteria; Bacillati; Bacillota; Clostridia.
CUUAUCCAGAGAGGUGGAGGGACGGGCCCGAUGAAACCCGGCAACCGGCAGUCGCGAUUCGCGGCGCAAGGUGCCAAUUCCCGCGGCGUUUGAAGCGUCGGAAGAUGAGG